RNAcentral lists this ribosomal RNA (256 nucleotides) under uncultured bacterium. RNAcentral describes it as "partial 16S ribosomal RNA". It matches the Rfam family "Bacterial small subunit ribosomal RNA", at positions 334 to 607 of the family's 1533-position model. The record is from RNAcentral.
UUUGCCUACGGGAGGCAGCAGUCGAGAAUCAUUCACAAUGGGGGAAACCCUGAUGCAGCGACGCCGCGUGAGUGAAGAAGUAUCUCGGUACGUAAAGCUCUAUCAGCAGGGAAGAAAAUGACGGUACCUGACUAAGAAGCCCCGGCUAACUACGUGCCAGCAGCCGCGGUAAUACGUAGGGGGCAAGCGUUAUCCGGAUUUACUGGGUGUAAAGGGAGCGUAGACGGCAGCGCAAGUCUGGAGUGAAAUGCCGGGG